This 397-nucleotide ribosomal RNA is filed under the name uncultured bacterium. RNAcentral's name for it is "partial 16S ribosomal RNA". It matches the Rfam family "Bacterial small subunit ribosomal RNA", at positions 523 to 918 of the family's 1533-position model. The record is from RNAcentral.
AUACGUAGGUGGCAAGCGUUGUCCGGAAUUAUUGGGCGUAAAGCGCGCGCAGGUGGUCCCUUAAGUCUGAUGUGAAAGCCCCCGGCUCAACCGGGGAGGGUCAUUGGAAACUGGGGAACUUGAGUGCAGAAGAGGAUAGUGGAAUUCCAAGUGUAGCGGUGAAAUGCGUAGAGAUUUGGAGGAACACCAGUGGCGAAGGCGACUGACUGGGCUGUAACUGACGCUGAGGCGCGAAAGCGUGGGGAGGAAACAGGAUUAGAUACCCUGGUAGUCCACGCUGUAAACGAUGAGUGCUAAGUGUUGGGGGGUUUCCGCCCCUCAGUGCUGCAGCUAACGCAUUAAGCACUCCGCCUGGGGAGUACGGUCGCAAGACUGAAACUCAAAGGAAUUGACGGGG